RNAcentral lists this ribosomal RNA (253 nucleotides) under uncultured bacterium. RNAcentral describes it as "partial 16S ribosomal RNA". It matches the Rfam family "Bacterial small subunit ribosomal RNA", at positions 524 to 776 of the family's 1533-position model. The record is from RNAcentral.
UACGUAGGGGGCUAGCGUUGUCCGGAUUUAUUGGGCGUAAAGAGCGUGUAGGCGGCCAGGUAGGUCUGCUGUGAAAACUCGAGGCUCAACCUCGAGACGUCGGCGGAAACCAUCUGGCUAGAGUCCGGAAGAGGAGAGUGGAAUUCCUGGUGUAGCGGUGAAAUGCGCAGAUAUCAGGAAGAACACCCGUGGCGAAGGCGGCUCUCUGGGUCCCUACCGACGCUGGGGUGCGAAAGCAUGGGGAGCGAACAGG